Molecule: ribosomal RNA, 993 nt
Filed under: Triticum aestivum (bread wheat)
Lineage: Eukaryota; Viridiplantae; Streptophyta; Magnoliopsida; Poales; Poaceae
Description: partial small subunit ribosomal RNA
Source: RNAcentral
AUGUCGGCUGCUCCGUCAGGGUCAGCCACCUCCGCUGCAGUGCUGGCCGCGGCUGCCCUGGCCUCCCGCAAGGCUGCCCCGGCCGCUGGUGGCCAUUUGUCCCGCGUCCGGUUGUGGCUGCAUCUCCGACAGUGCAUAGCUCGGCCCCCCCAAGUCGGGUCCUCACCGCUGCUGCCGCUUGGGUGUCUCCCGUCCCCGUCCCCGGCCUCUGCUGACGCUGCUUCUGUCAGCGACGCACCGUCAACCUCGACUGCUAUUGUGGGCGCGCCAUCCCCUACUCCUGUAGGUGCUGCUACGUCCUACUUGACUCCUGUGGAAGCCCCGUCCCCCCGGCUGCUGCUGCUGAAGCGCCGCCCACAACCACAACUCCUGCUGCUGAAGCGCUGUCCACGGCUCCUGUGGAAACGGCGCCGUCCUCGGCUCCUGUCCAUACUACGACGGGUCUUGACUCAGAGCUACCUGUUUCGUGGAGCUCCCUUACUGACGGCGAAGAAGACGACGACGAUGAUGAUGAGCUGGCCCAACGGACGCCACCGCCGGCUACCAAAUCCUCGGUUUCGGCUGCUCGGCAGGACGUGGCAUGUGAAGCGGAUAUAUUCGGAGGUUGGCAGAAGGUGCUCCCGCGGCGCGAUGUGCAACGCCAGGCGUCACAAGCCCCUACUUUGGCUCCCCGUCCCGUCCCUGCUUGGCUUCAUGAUAGAUGUUGCAGAUGUCUCUUUCCUGGACACCGUGCAGCGGAUUGUCGAGAUCCUUUUAGAUGUUAUCGAUGCCUUGAGAACGGUCAUCAAGCGCAUGAGUGCCGCAAUUCCUGGCGUCCCCUCAGCUCCUUGGGAAGAGCUACUGUGUCGCCAUUGCCCCGCCUCCCCGUCGAGCACCAACAAGCUACAUCUCCAUACAAGGUCCAGAAAGAAGCCCCGCCCCUCUCGAAGACAUUUUGUCAUGAUUCUUUGGCAUCGAUCGUUUCUGCUCCUGCUGGCUCAAUGGCCCCGAUGA